AAGCUGAACAGGUAUUUCAAACCUGCAGUUCCCUAGUCCAAAAGAUCACCAACAUCCCCUUGCUCUCCCCUGGAAAUCAGUGGGACUUAAAUUUGUAUGAAUCAUGCCCACUAUGCCUCGAGUUUAUGUUAUUCUAUCUUGUCAGGCCCAAGUACUACAUGGCACUGGUCUUGCCUUACUUGUAUAUUAAGUUUGUUGCAAAACCAUGGUCUUCAGUGCUGUCAGAGUAAGACUGAUUGGCAAAUUUUACGUGCUUGCUUGUUAUUAAUUUGAAGGACCCUUUGUGAGAGGAAGGAAAGGAGAGAUCUCACAGGGUGAGAGGCUAUGAGAAGAGAGGGGGGCUCCCAGGCAAGUUAGGAAGGCUCAUCUUUUCCCCCCCUGUAUGACACUUGUAAUGUGAAAUGAAUUUUGGUAACUACGAUUCUAUAAUAGAUGGAUAAUGGGAAAAGAUGCAGAAAAGAUUAUUAUUAUUAUUAUUUGGAAAUGGAACCCAUGAAGGGAGGGGAAGAUGUCCAAAGUUUUGAAAUAACCUUUUUAUUUUCAUGUUUUGGAGUAGUUAAGGUUACUAUGUAUAAAUUCAUGUAAAACCAAUAUAAAAAAAAAUCUUAUUAAAAAAAGUUAAGAUACAGCUUUGAGAGAGUAUUUUGUAUUUUUAAUUCUGUUUUCCAUUCUUUUAGUUUUUCUCUUUUUAUAGUUCUUUGAAGAUUAGUUCGUAUUUUAUUGUAUCAUGAUUUUUUUUUUAAAAAACACAAUUAUGUUCACCAGCAAUAGCUGGUCAUAUCUCAUUGCUGAUUUAAAAAAAAAUAGCUUAGUCAGAUAUUUUUAAAGUCCAAAAUGUGUGAAAUUUGAAAGCCACACAACCGCUGGUUUUAGGGACAGCAAAUGCACACCUCUGGGAUUCUGUGUCUUCCAUCUUUGGAGAACUCCAUGAUCACUUCUAGCAGCUAUGGAAUCUGUCAAGGGAUGUUCACUAUUUUGCGUGUGGUAGUCGGGGUGUUUGUGGAAAGUUAAAGGGGGGAAAUCUGUCCUUUUGACCUUUUUCCC
Molecule: non-coding RNA, 1044 nt
Organism: Podarcis lilfordi (Lilford's wall lizard)
Lineage: Eukaryota; Metazoa; Chordata; Lepidosauria; Squamata; Lacertidae
Source: the annotation of a GenBank genome assembly